UUUUUUCAGCGUAAUGCUCCAUAAUCAUGGAAAUGCUACGCGAUUUAUUAUGCUGUAUGCUAUGCUUAUCUUAAAUGAUGCAUGCAUAAAAAGUAUCUCCCUCAAGGGACUCUCCUAGGGAGCUCGAGGCACUCUGUUGAGGAACUCGAUAGCACUCCAAUCUCCACCCUGUUGGGGAAUAGGCCACCCUUACUAGGAAUAACC
This 204-nucleotide long non-coding RNA is filed under the name Lathyrus oleraceus (garden pea). Its description in RNAcentral is "Pisum sativum (pea) long non-coding RNA (PSAT_LNC013082)". The record is from RNAcentral. Lineage: Eukaryota; Viridiplantae; Streptophyta; Magnoliopsida; Fabales; Fabaceae.